UCGGUGCCGAAGCAAACGCGUUAAGUACCCCGCCUGGGGAGUACGAUCGCAAGGUUGAAACUCAAAGGAAUUGACGGGGGCCCGCACAAGCGGUGGAGCAUGUGGUUUAAUUCGAUGCAACGCGAAGAACCUUACCUGGGCUUGAACCGCAAUUUGACGUAUGAUAGAGACAUCAUAUUCUGAGCAAUCAGCAGGUUGUAGAGGUGCUGCAUGGCUGUCGUCAGCUCGUGUCGUGAGAUGUUGGGUUAAGUCCCGCAACGAGCGCAACCCUUAUCAUUAGUUGCCAGCGCGUAAUGGCGGGGACUCUAAUGAGACUGCCCGGGUUAACCGGGAGGAAGGUGGGGAUGACGUCAAGUCCUCAUGGCCCUUAUGUCCAGGGCUACACACGUGCUACAAUGGGCGGUACAGAGCGCAGCUACACAGUGAUGUGAUGCGAAUCGCAAAAACCGUUCUCAGUUCGGAUCGCAGUCUGCAACUCGACUGCGUGAAGUUGGAAUCGCUAGUAAUCGCGGAACAGCAUGCCGCGGUGAAUACGUUCCCGGGCCUUAUACACACCGCCCGUCACACCAUGGAAGUUGAUAGUGCUCGAAGUAACCGGUCUAACCAGCAAUGGAGGAAAGUUACUAAGGCAAGAUUGAUAACUGGGGUGAAGUCGUAACAAGGUA
Molecule: ribosomal RNA, 665 nt
Filed under: uncultured bacterium
Lineage: Bacteria
Description: bacterial SSU rRNA
Rfam family: Bacterial small subunit ribosomal RNA
Source: RNAcentral